AGGAAUGUAUAGCAAUAGCUACUUGCAUCAUUGUAAAGNUGAAGAAUUAUGAUAAGNCNUUGUCUGCCUAUGUGUCUUGACCAAAUUGGUAAUACGUAGAAGACUAGUGUUAUUCAUGUUUAAUCGGUUUAAGGGUNCCUAGNCGGUAAAUCAAGCUUUCAAAAAAAAAAAGAAUUAAAGGACUAAUUUACUAGAGUUACUUAUGAGGGGGUUUUAAAGUACUGCUGGUGUAGAGAUGAAAUUCUGUCAUACCUUUUUUCAAAAGAAAAAUCAUGGCACAGGUAUAGGCGAAGGCAUCCCCUUAUGUGAUAACUGACGUUGAGGGACGAAGGCUUUGUAUAGCGAACAGGAUUAGAUACCCCAGUAGUCGAAGCAGAAAAUGAUGAAUGUCAUAGAUUAGAUAUAUAAGUUUAUUCUAUAAAUGAAAGUGUAAGCAUUCCACCUCAUGAGUAAUUUGGCAACAUUGGAACUGAAAUCAUUAGACCGUUUCUGAAACCAGUAGUGAAGUAUGUUGUUUAAUUUGAUGCUCCGCAAAAAACCUUACCACAAUUUGAAUAUUUAUAUUUUUUUAUUGUUUUCUUCUUAAUUUUCUUUUAAGAACAAUAAAAAAGAAAGAUGAAAAGAAAUAAAAGAAAAGAAGAAAUUUAAUAAAGAGGCAAUAAGAUAUAUUUACAAGCGUUGCACGGCUGUCUUCAGUUAAUGUCGCGAGACUUUGGUUAGUUCCAUUAAAUUAACGUAAACCCUUACUUUAUUUUUAGAUAGAGUAGUUUCCCCGCUAUAUUGGAUAAGAU
Molecule: ribosomal RNA, 791 nt
Filed under: Montanelia disjuncta
Lineage: Eukaryota; Fungi; Ascomycota; Lecanoromycetes; Lecanorales; Parmeliaceae
Description: partial small subunit ribosomal RNA
Rfam family: Bacterial small subunit ribosomal RNA
Source: RNAcentral